Long non-coding RNA from Magnolia sinica, 1312 nucleotides. RefSeq lists it as uncharacterized. NCBI's taxonomy places the organism in Eukaryota, Viridiplantae, Streptophyta, Magnoliopsida, Magnoliales, Magnoliaceae. The transcript is spliced from 2 exons. The record is from RefSeq and is a predicted model, not a curated record.
CCUAUUCUGUUGCUCGACGUGUUGCACGUGACCCAGCAGAGCCGGUUCGAUAACCCUGCGUAACCACGUGAUACUUACGGAAUCUGACAGAUGUCCAUGGAGAAAUUUUGGCCGUUGAUUUGCCAACAACCGCCUUAGUUCGUCUCCACGUGGUGAUAUAAUAACCGUUGAUCUUCAGCUCCCAACACUAGGGUUUCAGUAUAUUUAUGCUCCCUCUCUCAUCGUCCGCAUGUCUCCCAGCCUUUCCUUUCCUUUCCUUCUCUUAUCUACUUUCCAACAUAUAUAUUUUUCUAGUUCUUGUUCUUUCUGUCAGAGAGGUUUCCAUCCGUCAGAUCGAUUUUUCGCGGCAGAUCAACCGAAUUUAGGAGAAAUACCGACUGCUCUUGCUGAUUCGUGGAGUUGGCCUGCUGAUCUACAAUUUGACUGAUUUUGCCGAUUUUCUUUUGUUUUCUUUUGUUUUCUUUUUCUGUGUCGCUUUUCUCUUGCAGGAAACUCCUCGUUCUCGGAUCAUCAGGAUUUGAAGCGAUUUGAAAAGGACGAAGACGAUUUUUUUUUUAACAGGUUGGAUCUGCGCGCCUGAUGGAAAGAUUCUUCUCUUUAUCUAUCUAAGUUGUGUUUGUUGCCAGAUCUUUACACAACCCUUGCGAUCGGUAUUGUAGAAUUGUGGUUAAUGGCUGUAAAUCAAAGGGUAGUGUGAUCGAGAUGGAGUUGUAAGAGAUGGAUCUUAGGAAAGUUAGCUAGUGAUGAAUUUGUUACCAGACCUUUGCCAUGACAGGUGCGCUUGUAUGGCAGGUCAAAAACCCUAAUAAAAUCCCUUUUUUUGGUUUUUAGGGGAGAUGGCAUGGGGCUCUUUUGCCCCGGCAUCUUCCCUACGGUGUCGCUGCUUCUUUCUUUUUAUUUUCAUCUUGAAUUCUCUCAAUUCCGACAUGACGAGUACACCCAUACAGCAACCAACAUCUUCAAUUAGGCAGACGAACUGCAAAGGCGAAUUAAUCACUCUCUACUGCCAUUGAUACGGAUUGUUUUCUAUGAAAUGAGAUUGGGUUAACUUUGUAGAUGAGUAUGUCAUACUUCUGGGAUCUUUUGCUGCAAACUUCUCUGGAAAGUAUAAAUCAGCUAUUGUGUCUAGCUUUCAAUGCGUUGAUGAUUUAAAAAGAAUCUGUUCUUCUUCUUUCUUUUUCUUUUUUUUUUCCUUGUGGGAUAUGAUUGUAGGAUGUGCAUUUCUAAUAUAUAAACUGUAAGCUGCAGCUAUCUUUGUUAUCUCCUUAAAAUCUCAGUAAAAUGAUUCCAAUGCAAUGGAUAGAAUGUGAUA